CAAGCGGGAUGAAUGAUCGCGGCUGGCAGCGUAAGCUGUCAGGUGAGGAAAGUCCGGGCUUCAUAGGGCAGGAUGCCGGAUAACGUCCGGUGGAGGUGACUCCCAGGAAAGCGCAACAGAGAAGAGACAGCCGCGAAAGCGGUGAUGGUGGAAUGGCAGUGUAAGAGACUACCGCACAUCCGGUAACGGAUGUGGCUGUGCAAGCCCCAUUCGAAGCAAGACCAAACAGAAGGUGAAAGGUCUGCCCGGCCGCCCGCUAUGCGGGAAACCUUCAGGUAGGUCGCUUGAGACUGUCGGCAACGGCAGUACUAGAUAGAUGAUCAUUUUCGACAUAACCCGGCUUACAGUUUCGCUUGGCAU
RNAcentral lists this RNase P RNA (360 nucleotides) under Lachnospiraceae bacterium. RNAcentral describes it as "RNase P RNA component class A". It matches the Rfam family "Bacterial RNase P class A". From Rfam's summary of the family: Ribonuclease P (RNase P) is a ubiquitous endoribonuclease, found in archaea, bacteria and eukarya as well as chloroplasts and mitochondria. Its best characterised activity is the generation of mature 5'-ends of tRNAs by cleaving the 5'-leader elements of precursor-tRNAs. Cellular RNase Ps are ribonucleoproteins. The record is from RNAcentral. Lineage: Bacteria; Bacillati; Bacillota; Clostridia; Lachnospirales; Lachnospiraceae.